CAGAAAGUAGUUUAAUACAGAAUUCCAGCUUUGGGAGUUGGAGGUGGAGGUUCGAUUCCUCUUUUUCUGA
This 70-nucleotide transfer RNA is filed under the name Glareola pratincola. It matches the Rfam family "tRNA". From Rfam's summary of the family: Transfer RNA (tRNA) molecules are approximately 80 nucleotides in length. Their secondary structure includes four short double-helical elements and three loops (D, anti-codon, and T loops). Further hydrogen bonds mediate the characteristic L-shaped molecular structure. tRNAs have two regions of fundamental functional importance: the anti-codon, which is responsible for specific mRNA codon recognition, and the 3' end, to which the tRNAs corresponding amino acid is attached (by aminoacyl-tRNA synthetases). tRNAs cope with the degeneracy of the genetic code in two manners: having more than one tRNA (with a specific anti-codon) for a particular amino acid; and 'wobble' base-pairing, i.e. permitting non-standard base-pairing at the 3rd anti-codon position. Lineage: Eukaryota; Metazoa; Chordata; Aves; Charadriiformes; Glareolidae. The record is from Rfam by way of RNAcentral. RNAcentral also lists the same sequence under 7 other names.